Molecule: ribosomal RNA, 1030 nt
Filed under: Staphylococcus aureus subsp. aureus 21232
Lineage: Bacteria; Bacillati; Bacillota; Bacilli; Caryophanales; Staphylococcaceae
Also listed under: 3 other names
Description: bacterial SSU rRNA
Rfam family: Bacterial small subunit ribosomal RNA
Source: RNAcentral
UUUUAUGGAGAGUUUGAUCCUGGCUCAGGAUGAACGCUGGCGGCGUGCCUAAUACAUGCAAGUCGAGCGAACGGACGAGAAGCUUGCUUCUCUGAUGUUAGCGGCGGACGGGUGAGUAACACGUGGAUAACCUACCUAUAAGACUGGGAUAACUUCGGGAAACCGGAGCUAAUACCGGAUAAUAUUUUGAACCGCAUGGUUCAAAAGUGAAAGACGGUCUUGCUGUCACUUAUAGAUGGAUCCGCGCUGCAUUAGCUAGUUGGUAAGGUAACGGCUUACCAAGGCAACGAUGCAUAGCCGACCUGAGAGGGUGAUCGGCCACACUGGAACUGAGACACGGUCCAGACUCCUACGGGAGGCAGCAGUAGGGAAUCUUCCGCAAUGGGCGAAAGCCUGACGGAGCAACGCCGCGUGAGUGAUGAAGGUCUUCGGAUCGUAAAACUCUGUUAUUAGGGAAGAACAUAUGUGUAAGUAACUGUGCACAUCUUGACGGUACCUAAUCAGAAAGCCACGGCUAACUACGUGCCAGCAGCCGCGGUAAUACGUAGGUGGCAAGCGUUAUCCGGAAUUAUUGGGCGUAAAGCGCGCGUAGGCGGUUUUUUAAGUCUGAUGUGAAAGCCCACGGCUCAACCGUGGAGGGUCAUUGGAAACUGGAAAACUUGAGUGCAGAAGAGGAAAGUGGAAUUCCAUGUGUAGCGGUGAAAUGCGCAGAGAUAUGGAGGAACACCAGUGGCGAAGGCGACUUUCUGGUCUGUAACUGACGCUGAUGUGCGAAAGCGUGGGGAUCAAACAGGAUUAGAUACCCUGGUAGUCCACGCCGUAAACGAUGAGUGCUAAGUGUUAGGGGGUUUCCGCCCCUUAGUGCUGCAGCUAACGCAUUAAGCACUCCGCCUGGGGAGUACGACCGCAAGGUUGAAACUCAAAGGAAUUGACGGGGACCCGCACAAGCGGUGGAGCAUGUGGUUUAAUUCGAAGCAACGCGAAGAACCUUACCAAAUCUUGACAUCCUUUGACAACUCUAGAGAUAGAG